Long non-coding RNA from Callithrix jacchus (white-tufted-ear marmoset), 3339 nucleotides. The record is from Ensembl. NCBI's taxonomy places the organism in Eukaryota, Metazoa, Chordata, Mammalia, Primates, Cebidae.
AUGCUUCUGAUAAUAAUCUUCAUAGUGAUUAUUGUGUUAUUUGUUAAAAUGGUGUUGAAUAAUAAAACCUCCUUCAAAAAGGCUCUACAAGAUAAGGUACUAAUUCAAAAGAAGGUGGUGGUGGUUGUUUUUAAUUCCAACAUGCUUCUGAGAGAUCCACUUAAACAUCUGCAAUAACAGUGGCAAAUCUUUUAGCAGACCAAUGAAAUUUUUCUUCUUAUUGUGUUUUGAGUAGUCAAAUUGCACCCAGUAUUGUAAAAUCAAAGUGCUUUGUUGCUAGGCAAUUCCAUGAAUCGUCCCAAAUCAGGUUUUAACCAGAUUGAUAAAAGUGUUACAUCCUUAUUUUGUUUUUUUACCAGAACACAAUUUUUGGUUGAGCAACAAACAUUUUUUAUAGCAAUAAAUAAAUCUUGCCCCAAUGAUAAUAUUUAAUGAUAUGCAUAAUUAUUGUUGUAACGCAUGGGAAUCAGAUAUAAGUGAUGGAAAGCCUGAGUGAUGACUGCAUUUGGCAUUGUGUUGACACUGCAGAUAAAAGCAGCUUUGCAAUCAGCAUGGAGGAAGAUGGAACAGGAAGAAGCUGCUCUGAACUGCCUCCAGAAACGCCUACAUUCACGUCCAAGGCACUGGCUGUUGAGUUUCCCUGACUUGAGAAACGACAUUGCUAUUGGCCGACAUCUCCCAAGGAGACUAAUACAACAGUCAAUAAAUGACACGAGAUAUGAGCAAGAAAAGACACUUGUUAUUGGAAGAAUGCAAGCCCCCUUUCAAUGAUCAGGCCCAGAAGUGCUGCAAUAGAACAGCAGUCACAUCCCACCCCCUCCUGACUUGAUCUCUUCAAGGUGCUGCCACGCUGACUCCGGACUGACUGAUGCCAAGUAACUACAAAUUACCUAACAAUGCCACACACUGGACACCGUAGCUCAUAACCUACAGUUCAACCAUGCAUAGCCAAUAGCUAAUCAAUGUUACUUCUGUAAAUCAAUACGAAUUGUAUCAGCCCACUCCUUGUCCACCUUUGCACGUGUAGCAAAGGCUGAAAGGUGCACUUCUCAAGACAGCUUAGAAGGAUUUCUCCCGCAGUUGUUCUCACCUUAGCUCAAGUAAACACCUUCAAAUUAUAUUUUGUGCCUCAAUUUCUUCCUUUAGGUGAACAGAAAUUCAGCACCUUAUUUUAAAAUAGGCUUUGUGUUAGAUGAUUUUGCCCAACCAUAGGCUAAUGUAUGUGUUCUGAGCACAUUUAAGGUAGGCUUGGCUACGCUGUGGUGUUCAAUAUAUGUGGUAUAUUUAAUGCAUCUUUGAUUUUAAUAUUUUCAACUUAGAAUGCAUUUGUCAAUUAAUGUAAUUCCAUGGUAAGUCAGGGAGCUUCUGUGUACUUCUUAUUAUAAAUCACAGUAUCACAGUCAUUAAAAAUGGAAUUAGAUUAAAUGGAAGCCAUACUGGAGUAAGUGGAUACUUAAUCCAAUGUAACGUCUCCCGAUAAGAAGAGGAAAUUUGGACACUGAGACCCACAGGGAGAACACUACAGGAGGUUGGAAGCAGAGACUGCAAUGAUGAGCCUGCAGGACAAGGUGCCCUAAGGAUCACCAGUGGGAAACAAGAAUCAAGUCCUGCACCUGGGCCGCAUAGCAAGAUUUCAUCUCAAUAAAGAAAAAAAAAAAUGUUGUAAGUAGCCAGGUGUGGUGGUGCAUGCCCGUAGUUCCGGCAACUGAGGAGGCUGAGGUGGGAGGAUCACUUCAGCCUGGGAGUUGGAGGCUACAGUGAGCCAUGAUCAGCCAUGGCACUCCAGCCUAUGUGACAGAGAGAGAUCCUGUCUCAAAACAAACCAAAAUGUUCUAACCCCUUACAAGCAACUAAACAGACCACUCUUAGCCAAGGGGACCCCAGAGAAACCUUAAAAACUGAGUUCCUGGCCGUGACAAGAUGGGAGGUCAGAUGUGCCUUUUUAUACCCUCUCCCCCACAAAUUGCCACUAGACCUUCUUUCCCUUUCAAAAGAUUUGCUCAACCACUGAUUUUAACCAAUUACUAGACGCCAUACCCAGACUACCUACUUUCUUGUGGUUUCAGCAUAGCAGGUGACCAGGACCACGACGCAUUACUCCCUGAUAUUUGACCACAGACCAGGGACUGGCUCUAGCCAGCCUACACAAACUGCACACGGAUGCCCUGUGUCCUCCAUUUCAGCUUCUGACGUACAGAGCCUGCUUCUAAUGCAUUUAAAUGUUGUCUCCACCCCUAAGUGAAUAUAGGAUGUAUGCAACAUACAUUUUUGCUUAUUAAGCAUUUAUGCUCCCUUUUUUGUGAACAUUCAUAGUUCCCCCUAUAACCUGUUGAAUAGGUAUACUUAGCCAACUCAUUCAGCAUCAAUUCCUGUCUUGUCCACCCUCCUUCAAAGAACCUGCUUUCAGUCUCUGCCAAGGGGCUAUGCCUCUCGGCCUGCAGGAUGGCCAGCCUGCGGGUUGCAACCCUUUAUUAAAAAACACCAAAUUUACGGAUCUCAUGAUUUUAAGUCAACAUCAGCAACAUCAGAAGACAGGAUAAGAAGCAAGGAAGGAGCCCUUCCUAGAGCUUUCAAGGUAGUAUGGCAGUCCUGAUAACCUUGACUUCAGAUGCCUAGCCUUCAAAACUGUAAGAGAACAAGUUUCUGUUGUUUUGGUGUACCCAAUUUGCUGUACUCUGUUAUGACAGCUCUCAGAAACGAAUACAGAUGUCUGUGUAAUUUGGAAGAUUACCUUCCCAGAAUUUCAACCUGUACCCACAUACUACAAGCUCUGUGAACCAAUGUCUUGAUGCUUUGUGAAACUGAAGCUUCUUGCUUAGAAUUCAGGCUUAGAAUUCUUUUCUUUCCUUUGUUCUCAAAGAACAGGUGAGAGGAAAAUGUUCCCCUUGCAGUUUAUUCUCCAGUGCUAAGAUCACUAGCAGUACCUGCCUGUGAGGUCUCUAGGUCUGAGCCACGGGAGCCAGGAUGUGGUAUUGGAGGCAGUAGUGAACCUGUUUGCUGCCCCAUCUCCCUUACAACAAGGGCCAGAAGGCGCAGCCACUCAACAGCAACGUAGGUACAUGAUGCUAUACACACACGUACCUAGGUGGCUGAAUACCUUUUCAGGCUCCCACACCAAGUCUGAGGGAAACUGCCUUGUGAAUUGGCAAAGUGGACAAAGACAAUAAAAAUCUUUAACAGGGGUAUCUAUUCACAGACACUAAUUCAGACUAAGACUGUGACUUGGAAACACGAAUCCAAAAGAUCUACACAAAUUGUUUUUUAUUAUUACAUACAGAUCAACACACUGAUCGCUCCACCAGCCAUCAGCACCUCUUGCCUUCCAAGAUUUUGUUAAUA